UACGGAGGAUGCGAGCGUUAUCCGGAUUUAUUGGGUUUAAAGGGUGCGCAGGCGGAUUUUUAAGUCAGCGGUCAAAUCGUGGGGCUCAACCCCAUCCAGCCGUUGAAACUGGGGAUCUAGAGUGUGCGAGAGGUAUGCGGAAUGCGUGGUGUAGCGGUGAAAUGCAUAGAUAUCACGCAGAACCCCGAUUGCGAAGGCAGCAUACCGGUGCGCAACUGACGCUCAGGCACGAAAGCGUGGGUAUCGAACAGG
RNAcentral lists this ribosomal RNA (252 nucleotides) under uncultured bacterium. RNAcentral describes it as "partial 16S ribosomal RNA". It matches the Rfam family "Bacterial small subunit ribosomal RNA", at positions 524 to 776 of the family's 1533-position model. The record is from RNAcentral.